CACACACACACACACACACACACAAUCAGAUCAAAAAGGGGAGAAAAUGAGAAAGAAAGAAAAAAAAAACAAGCAAUGGGACAGUUAGGUGGCAAUGUGGAUAGAGCACCAAAACUGAAUUCAGGAGGAUCUGAGUUCAAAUCAUACUUAGACACUUAAAACACUUCCUGGCUGUGUGACUUUGGACAAGUCAUUUAACCCCAAUUGCCUCAGCAAGCAAACAAGCAAGAAAGAAAGACAGAAAGAAAAAAGAAAAACCAAGCAAGCAAACAACAACAAAACAGUGGGACUGUUCCUCCCUCAAUAAAGGUAUAAAGAGAAGGAAGAAGAAAGAAGAGAAAGAAGGAGAAAUCCUUAUUCAUCUGGAUAUGUGCAAAGCCUCCCAAACACUGAGCUAGCUAUGGCAAUGUGUGCGUCAACAUUAUCAAUAUUGGACAUCCCUGGAAAGAAUACUGCCAAGGUCCUCAUUGAAGGCAUUUGACAACAUGGCUGAAAACAUUAUGCUAAAAGGCAUGGUAGCAAGAACACAACCUUGGUUCAUUCCAUUGGUGACUGGGAAAGUGUGAGAGCAUUGUCCGUUAUCCUUCAGAAGUCAGGCAAGAAUGCCAACAUGAAAUUGAACUUUUUUGGGCAACCAAAUUUUGACAUGAUUUUCUAUAAGACCUCAUGACUGAUAGUAUCAAAGGCUUUGGUCGGAUCUACAAACAUUGUAUCCAGACCUCUAUUCUGUUUCUGGCAUUUCCCUUGGAGUUGAGAAAAAAAGAAUGUAUGAACCAUUCCUUGGCUCUUUCUGAAGCCACACUAUUUUUGUUGAAUGAAAAUAUUUAGCUUGGAGAUGCUAAGUCUAUGAUCAGUCCAGCACUCUGUACCACACAGUGCCUUCGUUACUCUCACAUCCAGUAUAUGUCUUCUCCUCACAAUCACAUAGUCUAUUAAAUGGCAAUGUUUGCUGCAAGGAUAUAUUUACAAAGUGGCAGCUUUUGGUAAAUGGAAGACAAUGUUAGUCAUGAGAUGUAUAAGUCCUCAGUAGUAAGAGCCCUUUGCUAUUGCUGUUUCCAAAUCCAUACAUUUUAAGGGCUCCCUGCCAUGUCUGGCAAACUGGAUCUAUUCUAGCAUCAGUCAUCCAGAAUUAUAAACUUGUACUCUUUGGGCACACUAAUGAUAAGGGUCUCCAGGUCUUUAUAAAUAUAUUUUUUUUAUCUCAUCAGUCUUCAUCAUUAUGGGAGCACAGUCACAGAUGAUGGUGGUGUGAUAUUUUCCUGCAAGUGGCAAUUGCAUUGUCACAAGCCUGUCAUUCAUUCCUUUCGAAAGGCAUACAAGCUUGCUGACUCAAUUAGUUUUAAUUGUAAAACUUAUACCAGCUUCAUGUGGCAGCCAUUCCAGAAAAAAAUGUGUAUCUAUCUCUGAUUUCAGUAAGCUGACCUUCAGUUGCCAGCCUUGUUUCACUCAGGACUGUCAUUUGGAUGUGAUACCCACCGAAUUCUCUUGCAAUAAAAGCUGUUCAUCUUUUAGGUCUA
Antechinus flavipes (yellow-footed antechinus) is the source of this 1517-nucleotide long non-coding RNA. RefSeq lists it as uncharacterized. The record is from RefSeq and is a predicted model, not a curated record. The transcript is spliced from 4 exons. Lineage: Eukaryota; Metazoa; Chordata; Mammalia; Dasyuromorphia; Dasyuridae.